UCUGCUAUCUUUUUUCAGGCACUUAAUAAGAGACCAACAAAAUCGCAGAAGAGAAAGGAGAAUCGCUAUUCCGGGAUCAAAGACAUUAACACCAUUCAGGAACUUCUUGAUGUCGAAGAGGAGGAAGAGGAUCUCCUGGAUGCCUACGUGACACCGUCAAAAGGCUCUCAGAAACGGGCCAUCACCACACCGGAGAACCCUCGUUCCAAGAGGACCGUUUCCACUCGCAGCCCUCAUCUGUUGUUCUCUCCUACCAGCUUUUCACCCAG
Molecule: long non-coding RNA, 269 nt
Organism: Sphaerodactylus townsendi
Lineage: Eukaryota; Metazoa; Chordata; Lepidosauria; Squamata; Sphaerodactylidae
Exons: 3
Source: RefSeq, a predicted model, not a curated record